UUAUGAAAUAGAAAUGAGACUUCACAUGAGUAGGACUUAAGCACAUUGUAUUAGCAAAUGAUUCAGACUUUUUCACAACACCUACUACAGGUAUAUAGCUGUUCUUGCCUUUACCAGGCUUGGGACCUCACUAACAGUUCACUAUGAACAGCAGAAAAACAAACAAAAUAUUUCACAGGUUAAUAUGAAGUUCUGCCAUUGGGCAUACGUGGGCUCCUUCUGCAUUUUAGCCCCUCAGACAAUGGUUAAAAGAAAUACUUCCUUGAAAAGAAUUUUGGCAGAAUGCCUGGUUGUGCCUUUUUUGUGGAAAGAGAAAUAAUCAGAGUUUAAGAUUUAUGCUAAAUUAUGUGCAAAGCCUAUUGGUUUGGUUAGUUGGUAAGAGGCUAGAAAGAAAAGAUUGCAGAAUUCAACAAGAAGAUAUAAUACAGGGGUAUGUGGUUACUUACAUUUCUUCAUUGCAGAUAAAUCUAUCAGUAAUUAGGGGGAGAAUACGUUCAUUCUAUUACACUUUUCUUUCCUUUUUUUUUUUAAUUAGCCUGCCAGGUACUUAUACAAUGGGCCUAUGUACAAAGUGGACGUGGCAGCAGAAUUUCAGGGCUGGAGCCCAAUGACGCAAUUUUGGUUUACUGCAACCUCCGCCUCCCUGGUUCAAGCUAUUCUCCUGCCUCAGCCUCCUGAGCAGCUGGAAUUACAGGUACAUGCCACCACACCCAGCUAAUUUUUAUAUUUUUAGUAAAGAUGGGGUUUCACCAUGUUGGCUAGGAUG
This 766-nucleotide long non-coding RNA is filed under the name Callithrix jacchus (white-tufted-ear marmoset). RNAcentral's name for it is "lncRNA (ENSCJAG00000075170.1)". The record is from RNAcentral. Lineage: Eukaryota; Metazoa; Chordata; Mammalia; Primates; Cebidae.